AUGGCCGCCACCAAGCGAUCCGCUGCCGCCGUCGACGGCCACGCCAACCGGCCGGGAGCGACCUGCGUCAAGAAGAGGCGCAUCGGAACCACCGGGGACUACGAUCAUGAGUCCUCCCUGGGCGAGGGCAUGUUCGGCGUCGUCGCCAAAAGGCGGCACCGUGCCACCGGCCAAGUCGUCGCCAUCAAGUCCUUCCGCAAUCCAGACAAGAAGGACGAGCCCGUCGACGCCCAGGAGGUGCUGCGGGAGGCCCGCUUCCUGGAGGCGUGCGGCGGCCACCCGCACAUCGUCGGCUUCCGCGGCGUCGUGCGGGACUACGUCACCAACGAGCUCUGCCUCGUCAUGGAGUACGUCCAAGGACAGAGCCUCCACUGCCUCCUGAGGGAGAGGCGCGGCGGGCUCCCGGAGGCCACGGUGCGCGACUACAUGUGGCAGCUCCUGACGGCGGCCACCAAGAUGCACCGGUGCCACGUCGUCCACCGCGACAUCAAGCCGGCAAACAUAAUCGUCGGAGAAGGAGAAGGAGAAGGAACGGUCAAGCUCUGCGACUUCGGGGUCGCCUUGUCCAUGUCGGAGGCGCCGCCGUACAGGCAGGCCGGCACGGGCAUGUACCGAGCCCCCGAGAUGCUCCUAGGAAAGCGAGACUACGACGCCCUGGUGGACACGUGGUCGCUUGGGUGCGUCAUGGCGGAGACCAUCACCGGCGAGAGGCUGUUCGACGAGGACAAUUCGACUUGUCUUCUCCGAAGGAUCUUCGAGGUGGUCGGGAUGCAGGACGACACAACCUGGCCGGGGUUCUCGUCCCUGCCGCUCGCGGACGCGGUGCCACAGGUGCCGACGGUGCAGCGGAGCACACUGCGAGAGCUGUUCCCGUAG
Molecule: ribosomal RNA, 876 nt
Filed under: Triticum aestivum (bread wheat)
Lineage: Eukaryota; Viridiplantae; Streptophyta; Magnoliopsida; Poales; Poaceae
Description: partial small subunit ribosomal RNA
Source: RNAcentral